CACAGAGUCAGUCAUUCAUUGUCACUGUAAAGUAGGGCCCCAUAUUGAGCAAGAUCAAGUGCCAGACUGCUGCUUUGCCUAUACCAGUGUUGUCUGGCCACUGGUUUCUGCGUUGGUUUUAUCCUGCAGCUGGAUGACCUACAGGGAGUAGUAGUGGGAUGCACACCACUUUGCAUGCAGUGUGGGAGGCCUGAAGGGUGGUGCUCACUUGAACAGUGUUGUUUG
This is a non-coding RNA of Paralichthys olivaceus (Japanese flounder), 225 nucleotides long. Lineage: Eukaryota; Metazoa; Chordata; Actinopteri; Pleuronectiformes; Paralichthyidae. The record is from RefSeq and is a predicted model, not a curated record.